UACGUAGGGGGCUAGCGUUGUCCGGAAUCAUUGGGCGUAGAGAGCGUGUAGGCGGUCCGGUAAGUCCGCUGUGAAAGUCGGGGGCUCAACCCUCGAAUGCCGGUGGAUACUGGCGGGCUAGAGUACGGAAGAGGCGAGUGGAAUUCCUGGUGUAGCGGUGAAAUGCGCAGAUAUCAGGAGGAACACCUAUUGCGAAGGCAGCUCGCUGGGACGUAACUGACGCUGAGACGCGAAAGCGUGGGGAGCAAACAGG
This 253-nucleotide ribosomal RNA is filed under the name uncultured bacterium. RNAcentral describes it as "partial 16S ribosomal RNA". It matches the Rfam family "Bacterial small subunit ribosomal RNA", at positions 524 to 776 of the family's 1533-position model. The record is from RNAcentral.